This 109-nucleotide ribosomal RNA is filed under the name Callithrix jacchus (white-tufted-ear marmoset). The record is from RNAcentral. Lineage: Eukaryota; Metazoa; Chordata; Mammalia; Primates; Cebidae.
UCCUGCAGGCAUAUCAUCCUGCAUGUGCCUGAUCUUGGAAGCUAAGCAGGGAUGGGUCUGGUUAUUACUUGGAUGGGAGACUGCCUGGGAAUGCUGGGUGCUGUAGGCA